UAGAUAAAAAAUUUUAAAAACGCGUCAAUCAUCUAUAUUAAAUUAAUUGUGACAUUGUCGCGCCAUCUAGCAGGAAAUAUUCAGAUUAAGUGGUGCUUGGUGGUGCUUUUGACAUCUAAAACCGAACGGUUGUAUUUCUUAAAAUUAUCAAAUUUUAUUUAAAAAAAAGUAUAGUGGAACUAUAAAUCCCAUCAAAAUGUGAUUUUGAACACCCAAACUGUUUAUUUAUAGUGAUUAUAGGAUGUAGGGUGAGAUUUUCCCCCCUCAAAUAAUCAAAGAAGUUUUUUCGAAAUUUGGUGUUGUUUAUUAAAACAAAAAGAUCAAAAUCGCGCCAUCUAGCGAUAAAAAUCAGUACUAAGGUGCACUUUGACAAUUAAAACCGAACGAUUCUUAAAAUUAAGCAAUUUUAUUAAAAAAAAAAGUAAUGGAACUAAGAAAGUAAUCAAAAUGUAUUUAAAACAUAUUUAAAGCGAUUAUGAAUUGCGUGCGGAGGUUUUUUCCCUUUAAAUUAAAAUGAAGUUUUUUCAAAAACAUAAUUUUAAAAAAAUUUUUUAAAAUAACUUUUUCCACGUGGAAGUUUCGUUUGCCACAUUUGCUGUAACUU
Molecule: non-coding RNA, 604 nt
Organism: Onthophagus taurus
Lineage: Eukaryota; Metazoa; Arthropoda; Insecta; Coleoptera; Scarabaeidae
Source: RefSeq, a predicted model, not a curated record